RNAcentral lists this ribosomal RNA (864 nucleotides) under Pseudomonas aeruginosa. RNAcentral's name for it is "bacterial SSU rRNA". It matches the Rfam family "Bacterial small subunit ribosomal RNA", at positions 1 to 860 of the family's 1533-position model. The record is from RNAcentral. Lineage: Bacteria; Pseudomonadati; Pseudomonadota; Gammaproteobacteria; Pseudomonadales; Pseudomonadaceae.
GAACUGAAGAGUUUGAUCAUGGCUCAGAUUGAACGCUGGCGGCAGGCCUAACACAUGCAAGUCGAGCGGAUGAAGGGAGCUUGCUCCUGGAUUCAGCGGCGGACGGGUGAGUAAUGCCUAGGAAUCUGCCUGGUAGUGGGGGAUAACGUCCGGAAACGGGCGCUAAUACCGCAUACGUCCUGAGGGAGAAAGUGGGGGAUCUUCGGACCUCACGCUAUCAGAUGAGCCUAGGUCGGAUUAGCUAGUUGGUGGGGUAAAGGCCUACCAAGGCGACGAUCCGUAACUGGUCUGAGAGGAUGAUCAGUCACACUGGAACUGAGACACGGUCCAGACUCCUACGGGAGGCAGCAGUGGGGAAUAUUGGACAAUGGGCGAAAGCCUGAUCCAGCCAUGCCGCGUGUGUGAAGAAGGUCUUCGGAUUGUAAAGCACUUUAAGUUGGGAGGAAGGGCAGUAAGUUAAUACCUUGCUGUUUUGACGUUACCAACAGAAUAAGCACCGGCUAACUUCGUGCCAGCAGCCGCGGUAAUACGAAGGGUGCAAGCGUUAAUCGGAAUUACUGGGCGUAAAGCGCGCGUAGGUGGUUCAGCAAGUUGGAUGUGAAAUCCCCGGGCUCAACCUGGGAACUGCAUCCAAAACUACUGAGCUAGAGUACGGUAGAGGGUGGUGGAAUUUCCUGUGUAGCGGUGAAAUGCGUAGAUAUAGGAAGGAACACCAGUGGCGAAGGCGACCACCUGGACUGAUACUGACACUGAGGUGCGAAAGCGUGGGGAGCAAACAGGAUUAGAUACCCUGGUAGUCCACGCCGUAAACGAUGUCGACUAGCCGUUGGGAUCCUUGAGAUCUUAGUGGCGCAGCUAACGCGA